This is a long non-coding RNA of Dendronephthya gigantea, 140 nucleotides long. RefSeq lists it as uncharacterized. The record is from RefSeq and is a predicted model, not a curated record. Lineage: Eukaryota; Metazoa; Cnidaria; Anthozoa; Malacalcyonacea; Nephtheidae. The transcript has 3 exons.
GUUACAGUUGGAAGAAAUGUUCUCAAAAUUGACAGUGUCCUACGAUGCUGAUCUUGUCGAGUCUUGGAAGAAGCAGGAAGAAUCGUUAUUAAAAGAACGAGAAAUGACGAAAUCAUCUUCCUUAUCCUGGCAAGCAAAAU